RNAcentral lists this unclassified non-coding RNA (187 nucleotides) under uncultured Ascomycota. Its description in RNAcentral is "sequence contains ITS1". Lineage: Eukaryota; Fungi; Ascomycota. The record is from RNAcentral.
CAGUGGUCUGACGACUACCUAAACCAAACCGUGAACUCGUCCUCACAAAUACUCUGCUUCGGCGGGUCGCUCGCUGGGGGGAGCCCCGGGGCACGCGAUUGAGCGGCCCGGCCCGCCGAGGGAGAAAUCAAAAAUUCUUUUUUCAAAACCAGUCUGAGAAAAACUUUCUGAAAAGAAAAAUGAGUCA